Molecule: ribosomal RNA, 1344 nt
Filed under: uncultured bacterium
Lineage: Bacteria
Description: partial 16S ribosomal RNA
Rfam family: Bacterial small subunit ribosomal RNA
Source: RNAcentral
GACAAACGCGUGACGGCGUGCUUCCUGCAUGAUGCUCUAACCAAGACGACUUGCAUUGGAAGGGACUCGAGCGUGCAACAGAAGACUAACGCGUGAAUGAUCUACCAAGAACCUCGGAAUUUGCCUGUGCAACUGUUUCCUAUACCGGAUAAAACCGCACUUUAUAGUGGGUGAGUGCAUAUUUUUUUCAGGGUGUGAGGAGCUCACGGCCUAUCAUGUAGGAGGAGCGGUACAUGCCCUACCAAGGCGGGGACGGGUAGUCGGCCUAAGAGGGCGUACACUCGCUUUGCGACUGAAAUACGCCCACUGACUCCUACUGGAAGCGACAUACAGCAAUAUAUGCGCUAUGGGCGCAAGCCUUAUGCAACGACGCCGCAUGGGGGAUAAACGCCUUCGAGUUGUAAACUCCUGUCGCAAGACACGAAGCUUUGUGUGACCGUUCCUAGAUCAGGAUCACCGGCUAACUACAUGCCACCAGCCGAAGAAAUACGUAGGGUGCCAGCGUUGACCGGAAUUACUGGGCACUAAGGGCUCGUAGUGGUUUGUCGCGUCGUCUGUGAAUUCUGGGGCUUAACUCCGGGCGUGCAGGCGAUACGGGCAUAACUUGAGUGCUGUAGGGGUAACUGGAAUUCCUGGUGUAGCGGUGAAAUGCGCAGAUAUCAGGAGGAACACCGAUGGCGAAGGCAGGUUACUGGGCAGUUACUGACGCUGAGGAGCGAAAGCAUGGGUAGCGAACAGGAUUAGAUACCCUGGUAGUCCAUGCCGUAAACGGUGGGCGCUAGGUGUGAGGGUCUUUCUACGACUUUCGUGCCGUAGCUAACGCAUUAAGCGCCCCGCCUGGGGAGUACGGCCGCAAGGCUAAAACUCAAAGGAAUUGACGGGGGCCCACACAAGCGGCGGAGCAUGUGGAUUAAUUCGAUGCAACGCGAAGAACCUUACCUGGGCUUGACAUACAUCAGAUCGCUGCAGAGAUGUAGUUUCCCUUUGUGGUUGGUGUACAGGUGGUGCAUGGUUGUCGUCAGCUCGUGUCGUGAGAUGUUGGGUUAAGUCCCGCAACGAGCGCAACCCUUGUCUUAUGUUGCCAGCAUUUGGUUGGGGACUCAUGAGAGACUGCCGGGGUUAACUCGGAGGAAGGUGGGGAUGACGUCAAAUCAUCAUGCCCCUUAUGUCCAGGGCUUCACACAUGCUACAAUGGUCGGUACAACGCGUUGCGACACUGUGAGGUGGAGCGAAUCGCUGAAAGCCGGUCUUAGUUCGGAUUGGGGUCUGCAACUCGACCCCAUGAAGUCGGAGUCGCUAGUAAUCGCAGAUCAGCAAUGCUGCGGUGAAUACGUUCCGGGGCCU